UGCUGGGUGCAGCUUGAUACGACCGCAGAGGUCGAACCCUGAACAGUUGGGGCAAGUAUGGACACAACAUUCAAGCUUGAUACAGCUCUGAAUUUGGAUUGUGAUUAAAUAUUUGACACAGCAUAGGUUUCUGACACAGAAAGAAUGUGGUCUAAGAACUUGAAUUUUUUUAAUUUACCUAUUAUGGUCCAAUGUCCAAAAUCAAAAUACAUGGUAAGAUUCAGCAUAUCAAAGAACCCCAUAUAUUCAACUUUUGUUAAAAUCAAACAAAGUUUAAUUUUGGACCCCAACUUGGACAAACUUGAAAACUGGGCCCAUAAUCAAAAAUCUAAACACAUGUUUAGAUUCAGCAUAUCAAAGAACCCCAAGAAUUCAAUUUUUGCUAAAAUCAAACUAAGUUUAAUUUUGGACCCUUUGGACCUUAAUGUAGACCAAUUUAAAAAAUGGGACUUAAAAUUAAAAAUCUAAAUACACGGUUAGAUUUGGAAUAUCAAAGAACCCCAAUAAUUCAAUUUUUGAUGAAAUCAAACAAAGUUUAAUUUUGGACCCUUUUGACCUCAAUAUGAACCAAUUUGAUAGCGGGGCCCACAAAUGAAAAAAUCUAAAUACAUGGUUAGAUUCAGCAUAUCAAAGAACCCCAUAUAUUCAAUUUUUGUUGAAAUCAAAAAAAGUUUAAUUUUGGACCCCAACUUGGACCAACUUGAAAACUGGGCCAAUAAUAAAAAAUCUAAACACAUGUUUAGAUUCAGCAUAUCAAAGAACCCCAAGAAUUCAAUUUUUGUUAAAAUCAAACUAAGUUUAAUUUUGGACCCUUUGGACCUCAAUGAAGACCAAUUUAAAAAACGGGACCCAAAUUAAACAUCUAAAACACGGUUAGAUUUGGCAUAUCAAAGAACCCCAAUAAUUCAAUUUUUGAUGAAAUCAAACAAA
Molecule: long non-coding RNA, 930 nt
Organism: Mytilus californianus (California mussel)
Lineage: Eukaryota; Metazoa; Mollusca; Bivalvia; Mytilida; Mytilidae
Exons: 2
Source: RefSeq, a predicted model, not a curated record